CCCCGACGUGUACCAGUGGCAGGUGCUCCCCUUUGGCACCACGUGCAGUCCCUGCUGUGCCACGUAUGCCCUGCAGAGACACGUCACGGAUCACAGUCAGCCGGGAGACCAAUUCAGAGAGGUAAUUGAGAGAUCAUUUUACGUCGACAAUUGCCUGCACAGUCUUCACUCCCCUCAAGAGGCUAGAGACCUAGUUGAUCAACUUCGAGCACUUCUAGCCACAGGAGGCUUCGAGCUUCGACAGUGGGCCAGCAAUUGUCCAUCUGUGAUUACUCACCUCCCCGCUGAAUCCAGAUCCAGUACCUGUGACCUCUGGCUCAGUCAAGGCCAACAAGACGUCCACGAGUCUACACUUGGACUGCAGUGGCAUUGUCAGUCCGACACUCUAUGUUACAAGCAUCGAACCAGAUGCUCUUCCUCCGUAACAAUGCGCCAGAUCUACCGAGUGCUAGCGAGCCAAUAUGAUCCUCUUGGCUAUCUUAUCCCUUACACCACCCGGGCUAAGAUAAUAGUACAGCACCUGUGGGACAAGAAGCGUGAUUGGGACGACCCACAGUUGCCUGAGGAACUGCUUGCAUCAUGGCACGAAUGGGAGAAGGAGUUGAGUGGACUGGAGGAAAUAUCUCUGCCCAGGUGCUAUUCUCAAUCACACAAAGAUCACCCAUCCUGUAGCUAUGACGUCCACGUCUUCUGUGACGCUUCGGAGCAGGCGUACGGUUCAGUGGCCUACCUGCGGAUAGAGCACAAAGAGGGUCAAGUCGAAGUUGCCUUCAUCGCCGCCAGGUCCCGAGUUGCCCCUCGCAAGCAACAAUCCAUACCACGCCUAGAGUUGUGUGCCGCCCUCAACGGAGCGCAGCUAUCCCAGCUUCUGACCACAGAGCUUACUAUUCCCAUCCGCUCCACUACGCUCUGGUCUGAUUCCACCACUGUGCUCAGGUGGUUGACAUCCAGCUCAUGUCGUUACAAGGUGUUUGUGGGAACGAGGGUAGCAGAGAUUCAAGAGAUGACAGCUUCCGCCAUCUGGCGCUACGUCAGAACUUCAGACAACCCAGCGGACGACAUCACUCGCGGCAAGCCUCUUGGAGAUCUCUCCAAAGAAAGCCGGUGGAGCCAGGGGCCGGCACUCCUUAAGCUUCCCUCCGAUAGUUGGCCUGAGCAGCUUCCUUUAUCGCUUGAAGAGCCAAGCUGCGAACUAAGACAGUCAUCAUUCUUUGGGUUAGUGACCACAACUACACCCUCAGCUAAGCUGCAGCACUAUGACACGCUGGCAGAGUGCCUGAAUGCUUACGGGCAGGAGCUUCACGGGGCGGCCUACACCUCCAGUGCCGACCUCCAAAGGGAUGUUCAACAUGCAGUCCUCUGUCAAGCUCAAGCAGAGUCCUUCCCCGAUGAGCUGAGACUUCUGAAGUCUGGGAAACCUAUAUCGUCUACAAGCAGACUGAUCACACUCUCCCCGGAGCUUGAUGCUGCUACUGGACUUAUUCGAGUAGGAGGCCGUCUACGCCGCUGUGAGGUACUGGAAGAGGAUGCAGUACAUCCAGCUGUUCUCGACCCUCGACAUCCAAUCAUAGCGCUAAUCAUGAAGGAUUAUGAUGAGAGGCUACAUCAUCCAGGUACAGAG
This is a long non-coding RNA of Sinocyclocheilus grahami, 1621 nucleotides long. Lineage: Eukaryota; Metazoa; Chordata; Actinopteri; Cypriniformes; Cyprinidae. The record is from Ensembl.